GGCAAUGAUUUUUAAACAAUGGCAAAAAGGUGACACUUGAUUGUAUUACAUAGAACCCAGCAACCGUUCACAAUGACAAACAAGGAUAUCGAAUCAAAUCAAAACCCAGUCUGCUAAUUCACAUAGAUUUUAUCAAUAAAGCCAAAUAACCUAUUACAGAUUCAGGUUUCUGACGACAACCCCAGACGAUGAUUUAGAUUGAAAAGUGCAAAAAGAAGCUGC
This 222-nucleotide long non-coding RNA is filed under the name Carica papaya (papaya). RNAcentral describes it as "long non-coding RNA (CPAP_LNC015053)". Lineage: Eukaryota; Viridiplantae; Streptophyta; Magnoliopsida; Brassicales; Caricaceae. The record is from RNAcentral.